RNAcentral lists this ribosomal RNA (253 nucleotides) under uncultured bacterium. RNAcentral's name for it is "partial 16S ribosomal RNA". It matches the Rfam family "Bacterial small subunit ribosomal RNA", at positions 524 to 776 of the family's 1533-position model. The record is from RNAcentral.
UACGUAGGGGGCUAGCGUUGUCCGGAAUCAUUGGGCGUAAAGAGCGUGUAGGCGGCCCGGUAAGUCCGCUGUGAAAGUCGGGGGCUCAACCCUCGAAUGCCGGUGGAUACUGUCGGGCUAGAGUGCGGAAGAGGCGAGUGGAAUUCCUGGUGUAGCGGUGAAAUGCGCAGAUAUCAGGAGGAACACCGGUGGCGAAGGCGGGAUCCUGGGCCAGUACUGACGCUGAGGAGCGAAAGCGUGGGGAGCAAACAGG